This 498-nucleotide ribosomal RNA is filed under the name uncultured bacterium. RNAcentral describes it as "partial 16S ribosomal RNA". It matches the Rfam family "Bacterial small subunit ribosomal RNA", at positions 28 to 523 of the family's 1533-position model. The record is from RNAcentral.
GAUGAACGCUAGCGGCAGGCUUAACACAUGCAAGUCGAGGGGCAGCACGGACUUCGGUCUGGUGGCGACCGGCAAACGGGUGCGGAACACGUACACAAUCUACCUUUAUCUGGGGUAUAGCCCGAAGAAAUUCGGAUUAAUCCCCCAUAAUAUAUUAGAGUGGCAUCACUUCGAUAUUAAAACUCCGGUGGAUAAAGAUGAGUGUGCGUCCCAUUAGCUAGUUGGUAGGGUAACGGCCUACCAAGGCAACGAUGGGUAGCUGGUGUGAGAGCACGACCAGCCACACGGGACGUGAGACACGGGCCGGACUCCUACGGGAGGCAGCAGUGAGGAAUAUUGGUCAAUGGACGCAAGUCUGAACCAGCCAUGCCGCGUGAAGGAUGAAGGCCUUCUGGAUUGUAAACUUCUUUUAUUGGGGAAGAAAAUUACGGUUUCUACUGUAACCGACGGUACCCAAGGAAUAAGCACCGGCUAACUCCGUGCCAGCCGCCGCCGUAA